UACGUAGGGACCAAGCGUUGUUCGGAUUUACUGGGCGUAAAGAGCGCGCAGGCGGUCGAUCAAGUCGAGUGUGAAAGCCCCCGGCUCAACUGGGGAGGGUCAUUCGAUACUGAUCGACUCGAAGGCAGGAGAGGGUAGUGGAAUUCCCGGUGUAGUGGUGAAAUGCGUAGAUAUCGGGAGGAACACCAGUGGCGAAGGCGACUACCUGGCCUGUUCUUGACGCUGAGGCGCGAAAGCUAGGGGAGCAAACGGG
Molecule: ribosomal RNA, 253 nt
Filed under: uncultured bacterium
Lineage: Bacteria
Description: partial 16S ribosomal RNA
Rfam family: Bacterial small subunit ribosomal RNA
Source: RNAcentral